RNAcentral lists this ribosomal RNA (250 nucleotides) under uncultured bacterium. RNAcentral's name for it is "partial 16S ribosomal RNA". It matches the Rfam family "Bacterial small subunit ribosomal RNA", at positions 524 to 773 of the family's 1533-position model. The record is from RNAcentral.
UACGUAGGCAGCGAGCGUUGUUCGGAGUUACUGGGCGUAAAGAGUAUGUAGGCGGUUGCGCAAGUUUGGUGUGAAAUCUCCCGGCUUAACUGGGAGGGUGCGCCGAAAACUGCGUGGCUAGAGUGCGGGAGAGGAGAGCGGAAUUCCUGGUGUAGCGGUGAAAUGCGUAGAUAUCAGGAGGAACACCGGUGGUGUAGACGGCUCUCUGGACCGCCACUGACGCUGAGAUACGAAAGCGUGGGGAGCAAAC